CUCUCGAGCGAGUAGAGAGUAGCGAGUAGGUAUUCGUCCGUUCAGUCUGUUGUAUGUCCCGUGUGUGCGGUUCGGUCGUUCUUCCAUUGCGAUUGCACUUGGAAUUGACUUUGUGCGGCAUUUUUAUUAGAAUCAUUGCAACGCGUGGUUUUCUUGCUAAUUUUGCCAUAAGUUCUUAUUAAAAGGUAGCUAGCAUAUGCUCUUUCUGUCCUUUAUCACCAGUUCUGCGAGUCAAUUUUUAACCAGUUCGGCUUGUAUAUAAAUAAUUUAGGUUCAGACAUAAUCUCUAUUGCUCGUAAGG
Non-coding RNA from Drosophila melanogaster (fruit fly), 301 nucleotides. Lineage: Eukaryota; Metazoa; Arthropoda; Insecta; Diptera; Drosophilidae. The record is from Ensembl.